AUGAUCAAUGCUAUCAAGUUCCAAAGAGAAGAUUGGCUUGAACACAGAGGAGGUCACUCAAACCAAGCGCGGGAGAAGAAGUCGUGGACUUCACUGUGGAAGGUUAAAGUUCCCUCAAAAGUUAGAAUUUUUGCUUGGAGACUGUCCCAUACGUCUUUGCCGACUGGUACUACAAGGCAUGGAAGAAAGAUGGCGGACACGUCGGCAUGUUCUCUGUGUGGUGCGGAGAAUGAUACAUGGAGGCACUCGCUUUUUGAUUGCGGGAUGGCAAGGUGCAUGUGGGCGUUAGGCGAGGAGGAGAUUGUUGAGCAUGUGCUAUCUAACAGAUCUGAUGACCCUAGAUUGUGGCUCUUCUGGCUUUUUGAUACAAUGAACCAGAACGAGUUAGCAAGAGUAUUGGUCACCAUGUGGGCCAUUUGGUGGGCAAGGAGGAGGGCGAUUCACGAUGACGAAUUUCAGAGUCCUUUGUCCACUAUGUGCUUUAUUAACAGAUACUUGGAGGACCUGGCUAUUGUCUCUGUAAGCAGACCCACAGCAGGACGCUCACCACAACAGCGAUCCCAUAGAUGGAUUGCGCCAUAAGGGGGUGCAGUAAAGAUUAAUGUGGACAUCGCAGUUUCGCGAGAUGGUAAAAGGGGUGCAGUCUCGGCGAUUUGCAGGGACAAGGAUGGGAAGUAUUUGGGUUCUUCAGCUGUUACCUUUGAUGGUUUGGUUGAUGCGGCAAGCCUGGAAGCAUUAGCAUGCAGCGAAGCCCUUGCUCUGGCAAAGGACCUCAACAUUUCCCAUGUGAUCAUAGGUUUUGAUUGCAUGCAAGUGGUCUCAGAUAUUAGGGAGAAGGUGCUUUCAUCUUAUGCUGUAGUCAUAGAUGAGAUAAGAGAGACUAUGAAAAUUUUUGUGAGUUCUAGUUUCAGAUAUGAGUGUAGGGAGGCAAAUGUUGAAGCUCAUGCCAUUGCCAAGGCUGCUUCAUCUCUCCCUUCUGGUCGUCGUUUGUGGCUAGGGAUCCUACUGAACAUCACUUGUAUUCCUUCCUCAUUAUCUUUUGAAUAA
Molecule: ribosomal RNA, 1047 nt
Filed under: Triticum aestivum (bread wheat)
Lineage: Eukaryota; Viridiplantae; Streptophyta; Magnoliopsida; Poales; Poaceae
Description: partial small subunit ribosomal RNA
Source: RNAcentral